AACCUCCGCAAUGUGAGAAAUCGCGACGGGGGGAUCCCAAGUGCCAUUCUUAACGGGAUGGCUUUUCAUUAGUGUAAAGAGCUUUUGGAAUAAGGGCUGGGCAAGACCGGUGCCAGCCGCCGCGGUAACACCGGCAGCUCUAGUGGUAGCAGUUUUUAUUGGGCCUAAAGCGUCCGUAGCCGGUUUAAUAAGUCUCUGGUGAAAUCCUGUAGCUUAACUGUGGGAAUUGCUGGAGAUACUAUUAGACUUGAGACCGGGAGAGGUUAGAGGUACUCCCAGGGUAGAGGUGAAAUUCUGUAAUCCUGGGAGGACCGCCUGUUGCGAAGGCGUCUAACUGGAACGGUUCUGACGGUGAGGGACGAAAGUUAGGGGCGCGAACCGGAUUAGAUACCCGGGUAGUCCUAACCGUAAACGAUGCGGACUUGGUGUUGGGGUGGCUUUGAGCUGCUCCAGUGCCGAAGGGAAGCUGUUAAGUCCGCCGCCUGGGAAGUACGGUCGCAAGACUAAAACUUAAAGGAAGU
This 521-nucleotide ribosomal RNA is filed under the name uncultured bacterium. RNAcentral describes it as "bacterial SSU rRNA". It matches the Rfam family "Archaeal small subunit ribosomal RNA", at positions 345 to 866 of the family's 1478-position model. The record is from RNAcentral.